UAAAUCUAUUGACGCUUCUUCUUCUCCAUCGACGCCGCUCUCUUCUCUUCUCCUUUGAGCUUUCUCUUCUCCUCUACAGACGCAUCUGGAGCUCUCUCCAUCUCCAACCUCUCUCAAGCUAGCUCUCCAUCUCUCUCAAACUCUCGACCCUCUCUCCAUCUCGCACGAUCUCGAGCUCUCCAUCUCCAACCUCUCUCAAGCUCGCUCUCCAUCUCCAACGCAUCUCAAGCUCGCUCUCCACCUCUCGACCCUCUCUCCAUCAAGCUUCGUCUCGUCUCUCACACCAUCUCCAGAGCUCUCUCUCUCGAUCUCAAACCCAGGCUCUCUACAUCUCGACCCUCUCUCCAUCAAGCUUCGUGCAUCUCCUUCAAGGACUCUGCUUGUCGCUGCUUCAGUUAUAUGGUGUCUAAGAAGAAGUACAUCUUCACUAUUGACGACGAUUGCUUCGCUCUCUCAGGCUUCUCCAUAGCAUCUCUGGCUCUGUCUGUGUGUCUCAAGCUCUCCUAAGCUUUGUCUGUCUUUCACUCUCUCGCUCACAAGUACUUGCGGCAAAGAAGUGUGUUGAAUAAGAGUUUGUUUUCACAAGUUUUAAACUUUGUUCUAAAGAAAUUUGAAAAGAGUACAUGGCCUCUUCGUUCAUUUGUGUAUAAGAACACGUCUACUAGAGCCAUACUUUCGAAUCGACUUCCUUGAAUGUUAUAUUUGCUACAAAUAUUCUGCUUUUUUUUUUUCACUUGAAAGUUAUAUUAUUACAGGACCUGAGAUUUGGUUUAUUCGUUUGUAACGUUAUAUGAUGGAUUAUAUUUUCACACU
Raphanus sativus (radish) is the source of this 813-nucleotide long non-coding RNA. RefSeq lists it as uncharacterized. Lineage: Eukaryota; Viridiplantae; Streptophyta; Magnoliopsida; Brassicales; Brassicaceae. The transcript is spliced from 4 exons. The record is from RefSeq and is a predicted model, not a curated record.